CCUACGGGUGGCAGCAGUCGAGAAUCAUUCACAAUGGGGGAAACCCUGAUGGUGCGACGCCGCGUGGGGGAAUGAAGGUCUUCGGAUUGUAAACCCCUGUCAUGUGGGAGCAAAUUAAAAAGAUAGUACCACAAGAGGAAGAGACGGCUAACUCUGUGCCAGCAGCCGCGGUAAUACAGAGGUCUCAAGCGUUGUUCGGAAUCACUGGGCGUAAAGCGUGCGUAGGCUGUUUCGUAAGUCGUGUGUGAAAGGCGCGGGCUCAACCCGCGGACGGCACAUGAUAAUGCGAGACUAGAGUAAUGGAGGGGGAACCGGAAUUCUCGGUGUAGCAGUGAAAUGCGUAGAUAUCGAGAGGAACACUCGUGGCGAAGGCGGGUUCCUGGACAUUAACUGACGCUGAGGCACGAAGGCCAGGGGAGCGAGAGGGAUUAGAUACCCCAGUAGUC
RNAcentral lists this ribosomal RNA (446 nucleotides) under uncultured bacterium. RNAcentral's name for it is "partial 16S ribosomal RNA". It matches the Rfam family "Bacterial small subunit ribosomal RNA", at positions 338 to 795 of the family's 1533-position model. The record is from RNAcentral.